Molecule: transfer RNA, 59 nt
Filed under: Salmo salar (Atlantic salmon)
Lineage: Eukaryota; Metazoa; Chordata; Actinopteri; Salmoniformes; Salmonidae
Rfam family: tRNA
About the family: Transfer RNA (tRNA) molecules are approximately 80 nucleotides in length. Their secondary structure includes four short double-helical elements and three loops (D, anti-codon, and T loops).
Source: Rfam by way of RNAcentral
UGGCUCAGUUGGUAGAGCAUGGCACUUGCAAUGUCAAAGGUUGUGGGUUUGAUUCCUGC